AGUGAUGGACUAAGUGUGAUCCGGCCUGACCCACCUCCGGCCGGCGUGAGAAGGGGCAUGUGUCGGGCUACGCUCGGGCUUCCCCUGCCGCCCAUUGUGAUCCAGCCCGCUAGGCGCUCCCUGCCGCCCAUUGUGACGCCUGCCAGCCGCAGGCUGGGUCCCCGAGGCGGGCGGCAUUUAGGCUCGGUCUCCACAGCCAUGGCCGCGACGCAGGAGCUGCUGCUGCAGUUGCAGAAGGAUAACCGAGAUGGUCGCCAGCGGAAGCAGGAGCUAGAGAAGCUGAUACGCGGGCUCGAGGCCGAGAGCGAGAGCCUCAACCAGCGCCUGCAGGACCUAAGCGAGCGGGAGCGGAGCCUGCUGCGGAGGCGAAGCCAGGCAGCGCAGCCUCUGCAAAGGGAGGCGCGCGAGGCGGCGCGGGAGCGCGCGGAGCGGGUGCGCAGAAGACUGGAGGAGGCGGAGCGCCACAAGGAGGACUUGGUGAGGAAGAGUCCUGGAAUGGGGCUGGACCCAGGGUGGGGUGGGGCAGGGCGGGCGGAAGGGGGCCGGAUCCGGGGGUGGGGUGAGGUAGGACCGGCGGAGAGGUCGGCACCGCCCCAGGACCCUGUCCGCAGGAGCAGCACAGCAGGCAGCUGCAGGAGCAGUGGGAGGAGCUGUCGAGUCAGGUACGUGCAGGAGAUGGGAGGCCUGUCUCUUGGUUCCUCUCGAAGUCCUGCCCUUGUCCUCGCCCUUGUUGCCUCCCUGUCCCUGUCUCCCCUGACACCCGUUCCUCCAGAAGCCCGGUAAACCCCGCCCUUACGAGCCCCGCCCCUAGCUCUUCUACUACGGAGGAGAACCGCAGAGCCAGAAGAGCACGGAGCAGCAACUCGCAGCCCAGUUGGUGACGCUGCAGAAUGAACUGGAGCUGGCGGAGACCAAAUGCGCCUUGCAGGAGGAGAAGCUGCAGCAGGGCGCGCUGCAGACAGCGGAGGCCUGGGCCAUAUUCCAGGAGCAGACCGUAGUCCUGCAGGUGCGGCCCCACUCAGACGCCAAGGUGCCUCCCGCCUCUCCUCCCCCAGACCUGGGGCGGUAAGUCUCCCAACCCACCGCCAGGACGCCUCCCCGAGGCCUCAGUCCGCACUCUCACCCGCUCCAGGAGGUGCAGGUGAAGGUGAUGGAGGCUGCGGAGGAGCUGGACGCCUGGCAGAGUGGCCGGGAACUGUAAGGGAGUUGGGCCUGCGGGCGCGGCGGGGCACUGUGGGGCCGGGCUGGGCUCCCACCUGCAUGCCUGUUCCCGCAGGUGUGACGGGCAGCUUCGCGGAGUGCAGUACAGCACCGAGUCGCUCAUGGAGGAGAUGGCCAGGGCGGACCGAGAGACGCGGCUGUUCGGCGGUCCUCGCGCGCUGGCCAUCAGGUGAGCCGGGCGGUGGGCGCGGCCGCGGUCCCCCAGGUGCCCGCCCGAGCUGCCGCCCACCUGCCCGCCUUUCGCCCCGCAGGCGGUGCGUGCUGGGCGCGCUGCAGGUGCUGCUGACGCUGCCGCUCCUCUUCCUGGGGCUGUCGCUGCUCUGGACGGUGCUGUUGGACCCCGGCGCCGUCUCCGCGUGGCUCUGGAGCCUCACCUCGGAGACGACGCUGCGCCGCCUGCGCUACACGCUGUCCCCGCUGCUGGAGCUGCGCGCUAACGGGCUGCUGCCAACCUAAGUGCAGCGCCCCGCGCCUGGCUCCAGGUGGACGCCAGGGCACCUGGCUUUAUUUCUGGUGCACUCCUCUCCUGAGAGUGUAGACCAAGGUCGCCUAAUAAACUCCUCAAGGGAUG
RNAcentral lists this small RNA (1792 nucleotides) under Pan troglodytes (chimpanzee). RNAcentral describes it as "retained intron". Lineage: Eukaryota; Metazoa; Chordata; Mammalia; Primates; Hominidae. The record is from RNAcentral.